AACGAACGCUGGCGGCAGGCCUAACACAUGCAAGUCGAACGCUCCGCAAGGGGGAGUGGCGCACGGGUGAGUAACACGUGGGAACCUACCUUCUGGUACGGAACAACCAAGGGAAACUUUGGCUAAGACCGUAUACGACCUCCGGGUGAAAGAUUGAUCGCCGGAAGAGGGGCCCGCGUCCGAUUAGGUAGUUGGUGAGGUAACGGCUCACCAAGCCUUCGAUCGGUAGCUGGUCUGAGAGGAUGACCAGCCACACUGGGACUGAGACACGGCCCAGACUCCUACGGGAGGCAGCAGUGGGGAAUAUUGGACAAUGGGCGCAAGCCUGAUCCAGCCAUGCCGCGUGAGUGAUGAAGGCCUCGG
Molecule: ribosomal RNA, 363 nt
Filed under: uncultured bacterium
Lineage: Bacteria
Description: bacterial SSU rRNA
Rfam family: Bacterial small subunit ribosomal RNA
Source: RNAcentral